This 465-nucleotide ribosomal RNA is filed under the name Vreelandella stevensii. RNAcentral describes it as "partial 16S ribosomal RNA". It matches the Rfam family "Bacterial small subunit ribosomal RNA", at positions 338 to 795 of the family's 1533-position model. Lineage: Bacteria; Pseudomonadati; Pseudomonadota; Gammaproteobacteria; Oceanospirillales; Halomonadaceae. The record is from RNAcentral.
CCUACGGGUGGCAGCAGUGGGGAAUAUUGGACAAUGGGCGAAAGCCUGAUCCAGCCAUGCCGCGUGUGUGAAGAAGGCCUUCGGGUUGUAAAGCACUUUCAGUGGGGAAGAAAGCCUUGGGGCUAAUACCCUCGAGGAAGGACAUCACCCACAGAAGAAGCACCGGCUAACUCCGUGCCAGCAGCCGCGGUAAUACGGAGGGUGCGAGCGUUAAUCGGAAUUACUGGGCGUAAAGCGCGCGUAGGCGGUCUGAUAAGCCGGUUGUGAAAGCCCCGGGCUCAACCUGGGAACGGCAUCCGGAACUGUCAGGAUAGAGUGCAGGAGAGGAAGGUAGAAUUCCAGGUGUAGCGGUGAAAUGCGUAGAGAUCGGGAGGAAUACCAGUGGCGAAGGCGGCCUUCUGGACUGACACUGACGCUGAGGUGCGAAAGCGUGGGUAGCAAACAGGAUUAGAUACCCGGGUAGUC